CAAUAGCGUAUAUUAACGUUGUUGCAGUUAAAAAGCUCGUAGUUGGAUUUCUGGAGGGAGCGUCGGCCCGUAUUUACGAGUGCGUGACGUCUCUGUCCAUCCUUGCGGGAAGGCACGGCAUUGAUUUGUUGUGUCGGAUCGCAUCAUUUACUGUGAAAAAAUUAGAGUGUUCAAAGCAGGCUUUCGCUUGAAUACAUUAGCAUGGAAUAAUAAGAUAGGACUUUGGUGCUAUUUUGUUGGUUGAGCCUAAAGUAAUGAUUAAUAGGGAUAGUUGGGGGCACCUGUAUUGCGUUGUCAGAGGUGAAAUUCUUGGAUUUACGCAAGACAAACAGCUGCGAAAGCGUCUGCCAAGGAUGUUAUCAUUAA
This 366-nucleotide ribosomal RNA is filed under the name uncultured eukaryote. RNAcentral describes it as "partial 18S ribosomal RNA". It matches the Rfam family "Eukaryotic small subunit ribosomal RNA", at positions 592 to 976 of the family's 1831-position model. The record is from RNAcentral.